AUUCAAGAAACUAGGAUAAGAACAGACUUAUUUUUGUUUUGGCCAUGUUUUUAGAUGUCCCUUAAGGUAAGAAUUCAACUUUACUAAAAUACUGAUGUUCUGUAUGUAUUAAAGCGUAUUAUGUUUCCAAAAAAUGUUUUGUCAUCUUGAAUAGUGUAAUAUUAGAGUAAAAACCAGUAGGACCUCACCCUCAUGUCCGUAUUAUGUGGUGACUUUAUAACUUUAAGCAGAUUGUACAAGUUCAUCCUAGCAACGGCAUCUGCCUUAAUGACUGUCGAUGGUAGGUUAUGUGCCUACCAUGGUAACCAAAGUAAUAACGGGUGACAGGGAAUAUAGGUUUAAUUCCAAAGCCUGAGAGAAACAAGCUACUACAUCCAGUGAAGGCAACAGUUACAUAAAUUAGCCACUCCCAGAAUGGGGAGAUAGUGACAAAAAAUAACAAUACAGGACUCUUUUGAGACCCCCUAAUUGGAAUGAGUCCACUCUAAAUGCUUUAACAAUAAUCAAUUGGAAGGCAAGUAUAGUGCUAGCAGCAGGGGAAAUUCCAGCUCCAGUAGCGUAUAUUAAACUUGUUGUGGUUAAAAAGCUCAUAAUUGGAUUUCAGUUCCGAACAAGUGGUCUGCCUAGUGGUGGUUACUGCCUCUUCUGAACAACCAGCCUGUUUCCUUUGCUGAUCUUCACCGCCUGCCUUGGGUGACUGUCAUGUUUAUUUUGAAAAUAUUAGCGUGCUCAAAACAGGUGUGAUGCCUGAAUAAUGGAAGAAGACCUCUGUUCUAUUUUGUUGGUGUUUGGAAAUCGAAAUUUAUAUUUUUUUAUAUUUUAUCAACUAAGUAAUGUGUUCA
RNAcentral lists this non-coding RNA (842 nucleotides) under Stegodyphus mimosarum. Its description in RNAcentral is "Eukaryotic small subunit ribosomal RNA". It matches the Rfam family "Eukaryotic small subunit ribosomal RNA", at positions 77 to 873 of the family's 1831-position model. Lineage: Eukaryota; Metazoa; Arthropoda; Arachnida; Araneae; Eresidae. The record is from Rfam by way of RNAcentral.